GUGGUUAAGUCUCAAAGGUUCUGGGGGGUUGCUUUCUUUGGUCUUGCUUGAUGCAUCUGUACCUGUGCAGAACUUGGAUUUCAAAUUAAACAUGCCAACCCCUCUUAAUCUCUCUUCUUCGGGUGUGCUAUAUAACAUGAAGGAUAAAUUUCAUGCAUGUUCUCUGUCAUUGUCAAAGGAGCUUCAUGCAAAGAACGUGGGUGACUUCCCCUUGGAGGUCAAAAAAAUUGAAAUCUCUGGAACAGAGUGUGGAACAGAUGGGUUCGUAAUAAAUGGUUGUAAAGGCUUUUCUCUUGAACCUGAGGAGUCUAUAAAGCUUGAGAUAUCAUAUCAUACUGAUUUUUCUGCUGCCACUAUACAUAGAGAUCUUGAACUGGCUUUGGCAACUGGCAUACUUGUUAUACCAAUGAAAGCUAGCCUUCCUAUCUGUGUGCUUCAUUUCUGCAAGAGGUCUUUGUUCUGGACGAGGGUGAAGAAAUUGCUCGUCACUAUUCUCUUUCUAACUUCUUUAUUCUUUCUAGUUCUGUGGUGCAUCAUACCCCAAGUGGUGGCCUUUGGCUCCCAUGAGUGCUUGCCUAAGAGUGGAAAAAGCUAUAUGACAUCUGUUAGUCAUGCUGGAAAAUUGUCUCGCAUGCAUCCCACUGAGAAACAGAUUGGCAAGUUUGUCUUCUCCUUUAAAUUGAACAGUUUGCUUCGGUCAAUUGGGGAAGGAUAUAACUCUGCAUCAGAUACCCAAAAGGGAAUGGAGGUGUCGUCCUCUACAAAGCCUGUAGCAAUUCAGAGUUCUGAUACAUAUGAAACCUCAAAAACUGGUAAUCUCACUGUCAAAAUUGCAAAAGAAAAAGGGAGGAGGCGGAAGAAGAAAAAGAAUUCUGCGACUGCUUUGGUUGGACUUUUUGAUGUUUCAAGUAGUCAUAGUGGCAAUUCUACACCAUCAUCACCCCUGUCUCCUACCUCAAAUUUAACACCUCGUCGGCCAUCUCCCCAGUCUGCUGUUGUGGAUCGACCUGUUAAGCUCAUCAAUCCCUUUGCUGAUGUUGGUAGUCAUCAAUGUAAAAAAAAUAUACACUCCGAAUUUGCAUCUCAGAGGAAUGUCUUGCAGAGAGAGGUAACAUUAACGGAUGGUGGAAAAAAUUCUUGUCCUCCUCAAGAGAAGCCUGGUGCACCUAAAAGAUCAGCCAGCAAACCUGUUCUUCUGCCUUCAGCAACCUUCCCUUGUGCUGAUAAAUCUGUUCCUCGCUUGAUGUGUCGUCAACCAGUUCUGGCUUCAAGUUCUGUAAUUGCUCCUCAUUUACGAGCUCCUGGAUCUAAACCUCCAAAUCAGAUGGCACUUAAAACUGAUAAAAAGAUGGGUAUGGAGGAAAAGUUUACUUAUGAUAUUUGGGGUGACCAUCUUUCCAAUCUUCCCCUUGUAGGUAGGUCAAAGGAGGUAUUGGAGACGCCUCCGCGUGCUUUAGAAAACAGCUCCAGUAGUUUCUUUCUAAGGGGUCCACAGACCCUUAUUACCAACUACCAACAAAUAACUGUAAGUUCUGACCGUGAAGGUUAAUGAUAAUUUAGUUAAAA
RNAcentral lists this unclassified non-coding RNA (1566 nucleotides) under Hevea brasiliensis (rubber tree). The record is from RNAcentral. Lineage: Eukaryota; Viridiplantae; Streptophyta; Magnoliopsida; Malpighiales; Euphorbiaceae.